Oncorhynchus keta (chum salmon) is the source of this 101-nucleotide long non-coding RNA. RefSeq lists it as uncharacterized. The record is from RefSeq and is a predicted model, not a curated record. Lineage: Eukaryota; Metazoa; Chordata; Actinopteri; Salmoniformes; Salmonidae. The transcript is spliced from 3 exons.
UCUUAAAGCCCAGAGAAGACUGAAGGUGAGUCAGACUCUUAAAGCCCAGAGAAGACUGAGGACGCCCUGCUCAAGGUGAGUCAGUCUCUUAAAGCCCAGAG